GACGAACGCUGGCGGCGUGCCUAAUACAUGCAAGUCGAACGCAUUUUCUUGCACCUUCGCUUGCUACACCGAAAGAAAAUGAGUGGCGAACGGUCGAGUAACACGUUGUUAACCGGCCCAUCAGCGGGGGAUAACACUUGGAAACAGGUACUAAUACCGCAUAAUUCCAUUUACCGCAUGGGAGAUGGAUGAAAGGCUCUUUUGCGUCACUGAUGGAUGGACCCGCGGGUCAUUAGCUAGUUGGUGGGGUAACGGCCUACCGACGCUGCGAUGCAUCGCCGACCUGAGAGGGUGAUCGGCCACACUGGGAAUGAGACAAGGCCCAGACUCCUAAGGGAGGCAGCAGUAGGGAAUCUUCGGCAAUGGACGCAAGUCUGACCGCGCAAAGCCGCGUGAGUGAAGAAGGUUUUCGGAUCGUAAAACUAUGUUGUUAGAGAAGAACAAGGAUGGGAGUGGAAAGUUCAUCCCUUGACGGUAUCUAAACAGAAAGCAACGGCUAACUACGUG
This 507-nucleotide ribosomal RNA is filed under the name uncultured bacterium. RNAcentral's name for it is "partial 16S ribosomal RNA". It matches the Rfam family "Bacterial small subunit ribosomal RNA", at positions 28 to 507 of the family's 1533-position model. The record is from RNAcentral.